AUGAUUUGACACUAGCUGCUGCAAAGAAUUAAUGUAACCAUCACAUUACAACAAAGAACAAAUGACAUUAUUAUUUUUGGUUCAAAUAACAGAGGAGUUCUCGGAAAUUAAAUCUUUCAAGACUAAGCCCAUUGUAUAACUAUUGAUCUACAUUAAUUAAGCUGAUGCGUUUUUCAUAAUUUACUUUCCUACAAACAUUUUUAGAAGUCGAAUCGUGAUAAUGCAUAACCUUGAAGGAAAAAAACAAAUGACAUGAGAGUAUUUUUCUUCUCUUUUUGCUCAAGAAUUGAAUAAUGCACAUCACCGUUUAAUCAAGAAAAGGUUCACAUAAUUAAGAAUACGAGUACAAUAUGAUUAGUGUAAUUUUGAGUAUUUCACAUUGAAAUUAAAUAAGACUAUGAGUUUUAAGACCUGAAAGAUUUAUUUAAAUGACCAAACUAAUAGGGCAUCACUCUCCAUGAGUUAAAUAUGAACCAUUGUUGUUUAAUGACAAAAUAAUCUUACAUUUUAAUCGUAUUUUAUUUGUGGGCUUUUAUAAUAGCUUUUGUAUGCUCUUGAAUUAUGAUUCGAUACUAGUUAUAUGUGCUGUAAUUAAGAUAUAUGUCCAUUCUUAUUAUAUAUAUAAACACACCUUUUAACCAUAUUUUGAUUCUAAAGAAGCAUACAGACACACAAAUAUAACAAAAUCUUUCUCUUUUUCUUUUCAAUUUUGGUUUUGCGACCAGUUUAUAAUCAAUAAUCUUAAAAAAAGCUUAUUGUCAGGAAGAAACAAGCAAACAUGAGAAAUACAACUGCUCUCUGAUCUUUCCCCUUGGUUCUUCUUGUUCUUCUUCUUCUUCUUCUUCUUCUAUGAUCAUCUUGUGGGAUUCUGAAGAGCAUAAACAUGAGAACUUGUGAACCAUUAGUUUUUUGCUUCCAAAAAAAAAAAGGGAUUGGCAUCUUCGCAUCAGUAAAUCUGACUGCCAAAAGAAGAAAAAUCUAGUGGAAGGUCUGCAACUAGUCAACUAUAUAUAUAAUGAAUCUAGUAGUACACUUGAUCCACACAAGACUUGAUGAAUCGAAUUAUUCAAUUGAUGUAGAUAAAUCAUAGAAUUAUACGAGCACACAUGAAAGUCGAAGAUGAUCCUUCAUAGGCCCUUGUCAAGAAAAAUGCAAAUCCAAAAGAAUUGCAAAUCCUAAAGAAUCACACAUAAAAUGAUCUUAUUAUGGAGUGCUUAUUAAAUCAUGUUUUAGGCUAUUUAAUACUUAAAGAUAAGAACCUCUGGUAAAUAGAAUUUAACAGAUCUGAGCGUAAUUAUAUUUGUAUAUCAUUUAUAAUAACUAUAUGAUCAGAUUCGUGAUCCAGGCUCAACCUUUAAAGCAAGAAAAGAAAUUUGAUGAACUUUUGUACUGAUAACGAUCAAAACCAUCAUACUAAACUGAUCACCUCGAGAACUUCAGCCCAAUUCGUCCUGUUUUGUGCCUGGAACUAAUAUCCUUUGCUCAGCUUUACACACUCCUUCACGGAAAAACACACCAUUAAUAUACCAAAAAUCAAAACACCAAUGAUUUGGAUGGCCCUUCUCUCACAAAGCAUUUCCUUGAUACCUGCUGAGCAUAUUUCCGUAAUUUAGGACAGGAAUCAUCACUUUAGUUCUAUUCUAAAAAACAUGUAGUAACAGAAAGGAGGCUGAGUGCACUUGUCCCAAGUAGCUAGCUAAUCCCUUUUAGUGUGACAGUUUAAGAAGUUUGCAAUCAAUUAAACUUUGGGAAUUUAAAUCAAGACAUUAGUUUAUUCUUUGUGGAGAGCUAAUAUGAUACAUGAAAAAAAGAGAGAGA
Long non-coding RNA from Populus euphratica (Euphrates poplar), 1818 nucleotides. RefSeq lists it as uncharacterized. The record is from RefSeq and is a predicted model, not a curated record. The transcript has 2 exons. Lineage: Eukaryota; Viridiplantae; Streptophyta; Magnoliopsida; Malpighiales; Salicaceae.